RNAcentral lists this ribosomal RNA (447 nucleotides) under uncultured bacterium. Its description in RNAcentral is "partial 16S ribosomal RNA". It matches the Rfam family "Bacterial small subunit ribosomal RNA", at positions 29 to 523 of the family's 1533-position model. The record is from RNAcentral.
AGCGAACGCUGGCGGCAGGCCUAACACAUGCAAGUCGAACGAGCCUUCGGGCUAGUGGCGGACGGGUGAGUAACACGUGGGAACGUACCUUUAGGUUCGGAAUAACUCAGGGAAACUUGAGCUAAUACCGGAUGUGCCCUUCGGGUGAAAGAUUUAUCGCCUUUAGAGCGGCCCGCGUUAGAUUAGCUAGUUGGUGGGGUAAUGGCCCACCAAGGCUACGAUCUAUAGCUGGUCUGAGAGGAUGAUCAGCCACACUGGGACUGAGACACGGCCCAGACUCCUACGGGAGGCAGCAGUGGGGAAUCUUGCGCAAUGGGCGAAAGCCUGACGCAGCCAUGCCGCGUGAAUGAUGAAGGUCUUAGGAUUGUAAAAUUCUUUUAGCAGGGACGAUAAUGACGGUACCUGCAGAAAAAGCCCCGGCUAGCUUCGUGCCAGCCGCCGCAGUAA